This is a non-coding RNA of Macaca mulatta (Rhesus monkey), 1023 nucleotides long. Lineage: Eukaryota; Metazoa; Chordata; Mammalia; Primates; Cercopithecidae. The record is from RefSeq and is a predicted model, not a curated record.
UCCAUCUUUAUAUCUUGUCCCACCAGAAAGUCUUCAGGGAUAAUAACACACAUGGCUUUGUCAUCUUCUACAAUAAUGUCUUCUUCCGGAAUACUUCCUGAAGGACCUACCUGAGGCUAUUAUACUGCUAACUUAUUUUUUUAAUAUUCAACUGUCAUGGGCUGAGGAUGUUAUGAUAUAUCAGAUUUAUCUCAAGAAACUUUGACAAGAAAAGGACAACAAAGAAGGUGAUAGAUGAAACAAGUAUGAUGAAGCUAGAUAAUUGUAUCAUCAGGGUUUGCAGACAACUUAAAAUAGGCCAAAUUACAUGAAAGAGUAUUCAGUCAGACUUUUUUUAGUACUGGGGAAGUACCAGUAUUUAAAGUCUUUUAAACAUUUCUCUGACCACAACAGUAUUGAACGUGGACUUCCUGAGAAUAAGGACCGGAAUUAAAAAGAAUCACUUCUCUCAUCCCACAUACCAUCCUGAGACCCAGACAGCCUGCUAAGGAAACAUCAGGUCCUCUGCUUGAUGAGGCAUUGGAAUAGGCUUGCAUGCUGAAGGGAAUGAUUCAUUUGAAGGGAGAAACCAGUGCAGACUGAAGGAGAGCAAUUGCUGAAGCAAUAUACAUGAGUAAGCUGGAAAGGAUGCAAUCUAAUGCAGUGGAGAAGAGUUAGAUUCCACUGAAGAGUUCAUCUGUGAUAAGAGGAGCGAGAACUAAGCAUGUGCUUAGCAAUAAAGCCUGAGCUGAAUCCCACAGCCUGAACAAAAAGGUGAGCACAGGCCUGCUGAUAGCAAGAGUUACAGCAGAAGCUGUGGAAGACUGAAUACUGGCCCCAAAGAUAUACAGGUCGUAUUCUCUGAAACCUGUGAAUGUUUUUUUAUACGGACAAAGGAAAUUUGCAGAUGUUAUUAAAUCUUGAGAUGGAGGGAUUAACCUGAAUUCACUGGAUGGGCCCUAAAUGUAAUCCCAAGUGUCUUUAGAAGAGGGAAAUAGAGAAAGAUUCGACUGUAGAAGAAAAUAAGGCAUUGUGAUUUGUGAA